AGAGUUUGAUCAUGGCUCAGGAUGAACGCUAGCUACAGGCUUAACACAUGCAAGUCGAGGGGCAGCAUGUUGGUUGCUUGCAACCAACGAUGGCGACCGGCGCACGGGUGAGUAACGCGUAUCCAACCUACCCUUGUCCAUCGGAUAACCCGUCGAAAGGCGGCCUAACACGAUAUGCGGUUCACAGCAGGCAUCUAACGUGAACGAAAUGUGAAGGAGAAGGAUGGGGAUGCGUCUGAUUAGCUUGUUGGCGGGGUAACGGCCACCAAGGCUACGAUCAGUAGGGGUUCUGAGAGGAAGGUCCCCCANAUUGGAACUGAGACAUGGUACCAAACUCCUACGGGAGCA
This 348-nucleotide ribosomal RNA is filed under the name uncultured bacterium. Its description in RNAcentral is "bacterial SSU rRNA". It matches the Rfam family "Bacterial small subunit ribosomal RNA", at positions 8 to 349 of the family's 1533-position model. The record is from RNAcentral.